Molecule: unclassified non-coding RNA, 290 nt
Filed under: Hevea brasiliensis (rubber tree)
Lineage: Eukaryota; Viridiplantae; Streptophyta; Magnoliopsida; Malpighiales; Euphorbiaceae
Source: RNAcentral
GAGCAAGGUGAUCUUCAUAAACGCUGGAAAGUUGUUAGCAGGAGAUUGAGGGACUUCCAUAAGUGUAUUGUUCUUCCUAUUGGUGGCCUAUCCAUGGGACUUUGCAGGCAUCGUGCAAUUCUAUUCAAGAAAUUGGCAGAUUACAUAGGUUUGCCAUGUCGGAUAGCUCGAGGCUGCAAGUAUUGUGCAGCAGAUCACAGGUCUUCUUGCCUUGUCAAAAUUGAGGACGACAGACAGUUGUCAAGGGAAUAUGUGGUUGAUCUAGUUGGGCAGCCAGGAAAUGUCCAUGG